RNAcentral lists this ribosomal RNA (595 nucleotides) under uncultured Planctomycetota bacterium. Its description in RNAcentral is "bacterial SSU rRNA". It matches the Rfam family "Bacterial small subunit ribosomal RNA", at positions 48 to 655 of the family's 1533-position model. Lineage: Bacteria; Pseudomonadati; Planctomycetota. The record is from RNAcentral.
AUUAGGCAUGCAAGUCGAGCGGAAAGGCCUGCAAGGGCACUCGAGCGGCGUAAGGGACAGUAAUGUGUAGGUACGUACCCCUGGAUCUGGGAUAGCUGCGGGAAACUGCAAUUAAUACCAGAUAAUGUCUUCGGACCAAAGGUGUGACUCCGUCUGGGGAGCGGCCUGCAUCCUAUUAGCUAGUUGGUGUGGUAAUGGCGCACCAAGGCAAAGAUGGGUAGCAGGUGUGAGAGCACGACCUGCGUCACUGGGACUGAGACACUGCCCAGACACCUACGGGUGGCUGCAGUCGAGGAUCUUCGGCAAUGGGCGCAAGCCUGACCGAGCGACGCCGCGUGUGGGAUGAAGGCCUUCGGGUUGUAAACCACUGUCAGAGGGGAUGAAAUGCCGUUGGGCACUCUCAACGGUUUGACAGAUCCUCAGAGGAAGGGUGGGCUAAGUUCGUGCCAGCAGCCCGCGGUAAGACGUACCACCCAAACGUUAUUCGGAAUCACUGGGCUUAAAGAGUCCGUAGGCGGUCAGGAAAGUUGGGUGUGAAAUACCUCAGCUCAACUGAGGAAUUGCGCUCAAAACUACCUGGCUCGAGAAAGACAGA